Suricata suricatta (meerkat) is the source of this 215-nucleotide long non-coding RNA. RefSeq lists it as uncharacterized. NCBI's taxonomy places the organism in Eukaryota, Metazoa, Chordata, Mammalia, Carnivora, Herpestidae. The record is from RefSeq and is a predicted model, not a curated record. The transcript is spliced from 3 exons.
CAGCCCUCACCGCGUCCCGGACCCAGAGCCCUGCACCUCGGGCGCAGACUGGCUGCCAAGGCCACGCUUUUGGCUAAAAGAGGCGCUGCCAGGUGCACAGCCCUGGGCAUGAGCCUUUUAAGCUGCGGGGGAAAGCCCAGGAAAGGUGCCUAGAAGAACACGGAGCAGGACCCCUGUGAGAUGGAGCCCGGAUAUGGAGGCCCUUCUGUGCUGCC